RNAcentral lists this long non-coding RNA (267 nucleotides) under Mytilus galloprovincialis (Mediterranean mussel). The record is from RNAcentral. Lineage: Eukaryota; Metazoa; Mollusca; Bivalvia; Mytilida; Mytilidae.
GUUAAAGUACGGCCUUCAACACGGAGCCUUAGCUCACACCGAACAACAAGCUAUAAAGGGCCCCAAAAUUACUAGUGUAAACCCAUUCAAACGGGAAAACCAACGGUCUAAUCUAUAUAAAUAAAACGAGAAACGAGAAACACGUAUAUAUUACAUAAACAAACGACAGCUACUGUACAUCAGAUUCCUGACUUAGGACAGGUGCAACAUUUGCAGCGGGAUUAAACGUUUUAAUGGAUCCAAACCUUCUCCCUUUUUCUGAAACAA